GCAGUCGAACGGAGCCGGGAGCAAUCCUGGUGGCGAGUGGCGAACGGGUGAGUAAUAUAUCGGAACGUGCCCAAUCGUGGGGGAUAACGCAGCGAAAGCUGUGCUAAUACCGCAUACGAUCUACGGAUGAAAGCGGGGGACUCGCAAGAGCCUCGCGCGAAUGGAGCGGCCGAUAUCAGAUUAGCUAGUUGGUGGGGUAAAAGCUCACCAAGGCGACGAUCUGUAGCUGGUCUGAGAGGACGACCAGCCACACUGGAACUGAGACACGGUCCAGACUCCUACGGGAGGCAGCAGUGGGGAAUUUUGGACAAUGGGCGAAAGCCUGAUCCAGCAAUGCCGCGUGCAGGAUGAAGGCCUUCGGGUUGUAAACUGCUUUUGUACGGAACGAAACGGUCUUUUCUAAUAAAGAGGGCUAAUGACGGUACCGUAAGAAUAAGCACCGGCUAACUACGUGCCAGCAGCCGCGGUAAUACGUAGGGUGCGAGCGUUAAUCGGAAUUACUGGGCGUAAAGCGUGCGCAGGCGGUGAUGUAAGACAGAUGUGAAAUCCCCGGGCUCAACCUGGGACCUGCAUUUGUGACUGCAUCGCUAGAGUACGGUAGAGGGGGAUGGAAUUCCGCGUGUAGCAGUGAAAUGCGUAGAUAUGCGGAGGAACACCGAUGGCGAAGGCAAUCCCCUGGACCUGUACUGACGCUCAUGCACGAAAGCGUGGGGAGCAAACAGGAUUAGAUACCCUGGUAGAAUCACUAGUGAAUUC
This 756-nucleotide ribosomal RNA is filed under the name uncultured bacterium. RNAcentral describes it as "bacterial SSU rRNA". It matches the Rfam family "Bacterial small subunit ribosomal RNA", at positions 57 to 809 of the family's 1533-position model. The record is from RNAcentral.